This 1371-nucleotide long non-coding RNA is filed under the name Anthonomus grandis grandis. Its description in RNAcentral is "uncharacterized LOC126743821". The record is from RNAcentral. Lineage: Eukaryota; Metazoa; Arthropoda; Insecta; Coleoptera; Curculionidae.
GAUUCAAUUAGCCCUAGAAAAUAAUUUUGGCUUUAUUGUUUUUAACUCUAUUAUCUUUUAACGUUUGUAUUAAUCAAAAUUUACAUUUUUCCGUUAGCGUAACGUUAAUACACAAUAGUUCCUUAUAGUACCUUCUUUUAAUAUAUAGAAAUCUGUAUCGUCCUAAAGCCGAAUUUACACGUGUCAAGUAGCUAAAGCAAGUUACUAAAUUUAGUUACUUGUAUGGUGUAAACAACUUGAUUUAGUACUUGCGCAAAUACCUAAUUUAGUAAGAUUUUUAGUCAAGUAAAUAGAAACAAUUUCUAUUUACUUGAGCAAGUUGUCUCCUCCACCUUUGCUUUCUAGAAACUAAACCGCCGACUAAACAAGUGUAGACAGGUUUUUUAGUCGAGUUCAUAAGUACAGACUGCGACGUUGAUUUUUCAUUUAUUUAUGGCGUGUUUUAAAAAUAUCUCGUUGGAGUGAAGAAACAACAAUAAAAUUUGUAGAAGAGUAUCGAGAAAGGCGAUGCUUAUGGUAUACAAGGGCUACCAUUUACAAAAAUAAACAGGCUCGGGACUCGGCGUUUAAGGAAAUUGAGGAGAUCAUGGGGAUAGAAGGAUUCGGAGUGCCUGAAAUCAAGAACAAAAUACGGGCGUUGAGGUCAACUUAUUCUCAAGAAAAAAAGAAAAUAAGGGACUCUAUGAAGUCAGGAGCAGGAUCGGAGGAUAUUUAUGUCCCCAGUGUAAAAUAGUUUAAGGAAAUGGACACAUUUUUACGUAACGUAGAGGAUAAUAAGAGGCCUACGCAGGAUAAUUUCAAUAUACAAUGCGAAGAAGAAGUUAACUAACAAAAACGAGAAAAUGAAGAAGAAAUAAUGGCUGCAAGAAACGAAACGUCUCAGGAAGUACCGCAGAAAAAAAGUAGAACUACGUCAAAAUUGAGGCAAGUUACUGCAGUAGUUAACGACCUAAAAAAAAUAAGCGAAACUAUGACACAUGAAUCUGCCAAUGAGCAUGAAUACAUAGCUUUUGGUCGCAGUGUUGCUGCACAAUUAAUGACGUUAACUCCUCUUUCCGCCAUACAAGCACAGGAACGCAUUCAGUCUGUUCUGACAAGUUUUAAACUACAAGACCUCCAGGCCCAGAGUAACCAGUACGACACAUAUGCAGAUACCAGUAGUGCUCACGCCUCAUCUUCCAUCUAUACACCACUGCAGUCCCCUACAUAUUCCGACAUGCAUUCUUCGCAUAGCAAUGGAUCCACAAAUAUAACUCGUGCAGAAUCAGUUGCCGAUGUCGUACGAUCACAGAUAAUAGCAAAAGCUUUUUCCAACAUUUAACAUGUUUUGUUCAUCAACAACUUUUUCGUAAUAAAAAUAUUUAAAAAUAA